GACGAACGCUGGCGGCGUGCUUAACACAUGCAAGUCGAACGGAAAGGCCCUGCUUUUCUGGGGUGCUCGAGUGGCGAACGGGUGAGUAACACGUGAGUAACCUGCCCUUGACUUUGGGAUAACUUCAGGAAACUGGGGCUAAUACCGGAUAGGAGCUCCUGCUGCAUGGUGGGGUUGGGAGAUUUUUGGCUGUGGGGGAUGGACGCGCGGUUUAUCAGCUUGUUGGUGGGGUAGUGGCUUACCAAGGCCUUGACGGGUAGCCGGCCUGAGAGGGUGAACGGCCACAUUGGGACUGAGAGACGGCCCAGACUCCUACGGGAGGCAGCAGUGGGGAAUAUUGCACAAUGGGCGGAAGCCUGAUGCAGCGACGCCGCGUGCGGGAUGACGGCCUUCGGGUUGUAAACCGCUUUCGCCUGAGACGAAGGGUGAGUGACGGUAAUGGGAGAAGAAGCACCGGCUAACUACGUG
RNAcentral lists this ribosomal RNA (468 nucleotides) under uncultured bacterium. RNAcentral's name for it is "partial 16S ribosomal RNA". It matches the Rfam family "Bacterial small subunit ribosomal RNA", at positions 28 to 507 of the family's 1533-position model. The record is from RNAcentral.